This is a non-coding RNA of Paramisgurnus dabryanus, 359 nucleotides long. The record is from RefSeq and is a predicted model, not a curated record. NCBI's taxonomy places the organism in Eukaryota, Metazoa, Chordata, Actinopteri, Cypriniformes, Cobitidae.
GUGAUUGGUUUAAUCUGACAACCAAUCGUGAGAGAGGAGAGAACUGCAGAGGCGGGGCCACCAUUUCCAAGCUCAACCGUCAAAGUCCCGCGGCCGGGGAUGCAAGAGGCAAGAGGACCAGCGUUUCUAAGGCAACGAAGUUGGACAAAGCUCUGCACUGAUCCCAGGCUACCCUGCUCUCUCCAUUUAAGUUUUGCCUCAGAAAAGGAAACGUAACCAAGCCAAAUGAACAACUUAGAAACACUGAAGUCCCAAGGACUUCAUAGUGAUGAUGUCCUUGGGACAAUUGGGCCUUUUAAAAUCUAUUUGGGCAGUUUGGAGGCCCUUUUAGGCCCUUUCGAAAUUCCAGAUGAGGUAAU